Phyllopteryx taeniolatus (common seadragon) is the source of this 589-nucleotide long non-coding RNA. RefSeq lists it as uncharacterized. The transcript is spliced from 3 exons. The record is from RefSeq and is a predicted model, not a curated record. Lineage: Eukaryota; Metazoa; Chordata; Actinopteri; Syngnathiformes; Syngnathidae.
CGCAAUGACAGCUUCGUCCUCAAUGGGGUUGAGGGAACAGGUGGAGUAGACCAUCGUGCCGCCCACGGCCAGCUGUUCGACACCACGCACGGCAAUACGCAUCUGGAGGCUGGACGAAGAUUACCAGCUGAGAGGCUGCGGCGCCUCAAUCUUCUGACCGUCGAUCUCCAACUCCUGAAUAUCCUUAAAGUACUUUUCCUUCAGGCAGUGGAGGAUUUCCUUGGCGUGGCUGCAACCAGUAAGAGAGGGGCAGAGCAUGGCUUGGUGAACGACGUCCGGAGGUCUGACCUCAGCUCCAGUCGGCCAAUUACGAGGUCAUUUCAGCAUUAGAGCCUUUGCCAUGCUCCUUGCAAGUGCUUUCAUUUUGUAUUUGUGUGUUUGACUGUUUGAAACGGUCAAUAAACAGCAAGUCAAUGUACCACUGUGCAAUGUUACCCCGCUGUUCAUCAUUCGUACCCCAGCUAUAGCAAUUUUUUAUGAUGAAGUGAGGGGAAAUGGCUUCAUUUAGCCAUUGCCUUGCCGACAUCUCGUUGCAACAAAAGGCAGGGCUCGGUACCGAGCCCCCGCAAAUUGUUCACUGUAUGUUGGA